CGCGUAGGCGGGAAUGCAAGUCAGAUGUGAAAACUCCGGGCUCAACUUGGAGAUUGCAUUUGAAACUGUGUUUCUUGAGGGCAGGAGAGGAAAGUGGAAUUCCUAGUGUAGCGGUGAAAUGCGUAGAUAUUAGGAGGAACACCAGUGGCGAAGGCGACUUUCUGGACUGUACCUGACGCUGAGGCGCGAAAGCGUGGGUAGCAAACG
This 207-nucleotide ribosomal RNA is filed under the name uncultured Bacillota bacterium. RNAcentral's name for it is "uncultured Firmicutes bacterium partial 16S ribosomal RNA". It matches the Rfam family "Bacterial small subunit ribosomal RNA", at positions 568 to 774 of the family's 1533-position model. Lineage: Bacteria; Bacillati; Bacillota. The record is from RNAcentral.